AUACGUAGGUGACAAGCGUUAUCCGGAUUUACUGGGCGUAAAGGGCGUGUAGGCGGUCUUGCAAGUCAGAAGUGAAAUUCCUGAGCUCAACUCGGGCGCUGCUUCUGAAACUGCAGGACUUGAGUGCUGGAGGGGAUAGCGGAAUUCCUAGUGGAGCGGUAAAAUGCGCAGAUAUUAGGAAGAACACCGGUGGCGAAGGCGGCUAUCUGGACAGUAACUGACGCUGAGGCGCGAAAGCGUGGGGAGCGAACAGGAUUAGAUACCCUGGUAGUCCACGCUGUAAACGAUGAUUACUAGGUGUAGGGGGUAUCGACUCCCUCUGUGCCGCAGUUAACGCAGUAAGUAAUCCACCUGGGGAGUACGGUCGCAAGAUUAAAACUCAAAGGAAUUGACGGGG
RNAcentral lists this ribosomal RNA (397 nucleotides) under uncultured bacterium. RNAcentral's name for it is "partial 16S ribosomal RNA". It matches the Rfam family "Bacterial small subunit ribosomal RNA", at positions 523 to 918 of the family's 1533-position model. The record is from RNAcentral.